Molecule: ribosomal RNA, 721 nt
Filed under: uncultured Nitrososphaerota archaeon
Lineage: Archaea; Thermoproteati; Nitrososphaerota
Description: bacterial SSU rRNA
Rfam family: Archaeal small subunit ribosomal RNA
Source: RNAcentral
UUGAUCCUGCCGGACCCGACUGCUAUCAGAGUAGGACUAAGCCAUGCGAGUCAACGCCGCAAGGCGUGGCAUACGGCUCAGUCACACGUAGUCAACAUGCCCAAAGGACGUGGAUAACCUCGGGAAACUGAGGAUAAACCGCGAUAGGCCAAGGUUUCUGGAAUGAUCCCUGGCCGAAAUCUAUAUGGCCUUUGGAUUGGACUGCGGCCGAUCAGGCUGUUGGUGAGGUAAUGGCCCACCAAACCUGUAACCGGUACGGGCUUUGAGAGAAGGAGCCCGGAGAUGGGCACUGAGACAAGGGCCCAGGCCCUAUGGGGCGCAGCAGGCGCGAAACCUCUGCAAUAGGCGAAAGCCUGACAGGGUUACUCUGAGUGAUGCCCGCUAAGGGUAUCUUUUGGCACCUCUAAAAAUGGUGCAGAAUAAGGGGUGGGCAAGUCUGGUGUCAGCCGCCGCGGUAAUACCAGCACCCCGAGUUGUCGGGACGAUUAUUGGGCCUAAAGCAUCCGUAGCCUGUUCUGCAAGUCCUCCGUUAAAUCCACCUGCUCAACGGAUGGGCCGCGGAGGAUACCGCAGAGCUAGGAGGCGGGAGAGGCAAACGGUACUCAGUGGGUAGGGGUAAAAUCCAUUGAUCUACUGAAGACCACCAGUGGCGAAGGCGGUUUGCCAGAACGCGCUCGACGGUGAGGGAUGAAAGCUGGGGGAGCAAACCGGAUUAGAUACC